This 310-nucleotide long non-coding RNA is filed under the name Setaria viridis. RNAcentral describes it as "long non-coding RNA (SVIR_LNC009117)". Lineage: Eukaryota; Viridiplantae; Streptophyta; Magnoliopsida; Poales; Poaceae. The record is from RNAcentral.
GGAGUCCUAGGGGGGUUAGAGUAUUGUUCAUCAAUGCAAGCAUGGUGCUUGUACUGGUUGGCUCCAUUGGAUAUGAGUUUGCCGUACAGGUUGCUAGGGGUAGGCAGCAGGUGGUGACAGCCCUGUCCAUCCUUUGUAAUCCCCCACAUUCGGGUACGUUGUAGAAGUUCGUAAAUUAGCAGUAACUAUGCCGGCAGAUUGGUAGGGUAUUGUCUCCCCAUGUGUGUUUGGGUGCAUAGGCGUCGUUCUAAAUGUGUGUAUGUUGUGUAUGUAUACUAGUAUGAGCUGUGCAGUAUAUAGGAAGUACAUA